CGCCACAGCCAUAUCACCCUGUAGCCCAAGACCGAUUACUUACUGAAGCUAAGCAGGGCUGAGCCUGGUUAGUACCUAGAUGGGAGAUCACUGGGGAACACUAGGUUGCUGUUGGAA
Molecule: ribosomal RNA, 117 nt
Organism: Danio rerio (zebrafish)
Lineage: Eukaryota; Metazoa; Chordata; Actinopteri; Cypriniformes; Danionidae
Source: Ensembl